Molecule: ribosomal RNA, 508 nt
Filed under: Meloidogyne incognita (southern root-knot nematode)
Lineage: Eukaryota; Metazoa; Nematoda; Chromadorea; Rhabditida; Meloidogynidae
Description: eukaryotic LSU rRNA
Rfam family: Eukaryotic large subunit ribosomal RNA
Source: RNAcentral
UGAAGAGAGAGUUAAAGAGGACGUGAAACCGGUAAGGUGGAAACGGAUAGAGUCGGCGUAUCAUUCAAUUAUUCAGUUACAUUAUUUUUAUGUUGUGACCUCUGAGCUCCAGAUUGGGACAGAGGGAAUCAGCAUAAUUUUUUGUGGUGCAUUUACUUGAUUGGUGCUUGGGGAUGUUUGAGGCAGAUUUGUUUCCGUCGUUUUGAGGCCAGCUUGCUGGUACCCAAACGGUGUUAGCAUUUUUUGUCUUGGGCAUUUGAGUAUGGCUCACGUGUAUUUAUUGGACAGAUCUGAGUGUAAGUUACGGUCGCAUGCGACACGUGCUUUUCAAUUAGUUCGGUCCAGUUAAUGCUCUCGUACUCGUUCCCCAUGUAAAAGCCGGUCAUCUAUCCGACCCGUCUUGAAACACGGACCAAGGAGUUUAUCGUGUGCGCAAGUUUUUGGGUGUUAAAAACUUAAAAGCGAAAUGAAAGUAAAUGACUCUUUAGAGUCUGAUGUGCGAUCUUGU